GAUUUCUGGCGAAACUGCUAGCUGGCCCGCCACGUCAGUGUGUGAGUGCCGGCUUGGCGUUUGCCAUCCGUUCGAAUGAUAUGCGCGCUGCCCUUCACUGGGUUGGUGCUGCAUGUUUUCGAUCUUUUACUUUGAAAAAAUUAGAGUGUUUCAAGCAGGCAUGUUUGCUAUGAAUACAUUAGCAUGGAAUAAUAACUUAGGACUUCGGUUCUAUUUUGUUGGUUUCUAGGACUGAAGUAAUGAUUGAUAGGGAUAGUUGGGGGUGCUAGUAUUCAGUGGCCAGAGGUGAAAUUCUCGGAUUCACUGAAGACUAACUUAUGCGAAAGCAUU
RNAcentral lists this ribosomal RNA (330 nucleotides) under Allapsidae sp. RNAcentral's name for it is "SSU rRNA". The stretch from base 54 to 330 matches the Rfam family "Eukaryotic small subunit ribosomal RNA", at positions 679 to 955 of the family's 1831-position model. The record is from RNAcentral. Lineage: Eukaryota; Cercozoa; Glissomonadida; Viridiraptoridae.